UUCUGUUCGGCUGAAAAAAAAAAAAAAAAACGAGAGAGAGAGAGAGAUUUGUGCUGGAAAAUUCUAUGUCAAGAAGGGAGAAAGAAUUGAGCUCAAGGAAGUAAGGGUUUAAAGAAAGGAAAGGGAAAUUCAUCAAAAAAUUCAUCAAUCAAGAACUCUAGGUAACGCGUUACGGUCCGUCCGAUCUGUCUCUGGAGCUAUCAGUGAUCAAGCACGUGACCAGGCUUAGAGGUGUUUGCCUGGAAUCUGUUUUUGUCAACCAACCUAUGCACCUCCCGUGGAGGUCACGGACACGUCAAGUGCCAAGGCUAUGUGAUUAAAUUUUAAGUUUUUGUUUAUUUUGUAAAUAGGGCUAAGUUUCCUUUUUGUCUUAUUUGUAUAAAUGUGAUGUUGUAAGGGUGAUAUAUAAUAUUUGUAUAUAAAUUUUUAAU
Molecule: non-coding RNA, 431 nt
Organism: Camellia sinensis
Lineage: Eukaryota; Viridiplantae; Streptophyta; Magnoliopsida; Ericales; Theaceae
Source: RefSeq, a predicted model, not a curated record